GCCGGGUGCGGUGGCGCACGCCUGGAAUCCCAGCGGCUCAGGAGGCUGAGGCAGGAGGACCGUGAGUUCAAAGCCAGCCUCAGCAAGGGUGAGGCACUAAGCGAUUCAGGGAGACCCUGUCUCUC
RNAcentral lists this small RNA (125 nucleotides) under Marmota monax (woodchuck). The record is from RNAcentral. Lineage: Eukaryota; Metazoa; Chordata; Mammalia; Rodentia; Sciuridae.